GGUAAUUCUUGUGGUCAGAGAAAGAUCUUGAAGUCUAUUUGUUUCCAGAAAAAAUUGAUAAGCCUUGCACGAUCAAAUCUUGAGAUACACCAUGAUUAUUGCAGACUGCUCCAGAAAUCAGCAAAAGAUAGAAACAGGAGAUAGCCAAACCCAACUACUUAUUUCACUAAUCCUUAUGCCUUAGGUCUAUAAACUAAUGAAAUUGUG
This 207-nucleotide long non-coding RNA is filed under the name Sorghum bicolor (sorghum). Its description in RNAcentral is "long non-coding RNA (SBIC_LNC003805)". Lineage: Eukaryota; Viridiplantae; Streptophyta; Magnoliopsida; Poales; Poaceae. The record is from RNAcentral.